GCUCCUCCUCUCUAAUCCUUUGUCCCUGGGUAAGAGUGCUUUGGGAAUGCAGUGCACCCAGGCAAGGAUUCUGAGAGGGUGAGC
This is a non-coding RNA of Heterocephalus glaber (naked mole-rat), 84 nucleotides long. The record is from Rfam. NCBI's taxonomy places the organism in Eukaryota, Metazoa, Chordata, Mammalia, Rodentia, Bathyergidae.